RNAcentral lists this long non-coding RNA (4918 nucleotides) under Triticum aestivum (bread wheat). RNAcentral's name for it is "long non-coding RNA (TAES_LNC022379)". The record is from RNAcentral. Lineage: Eukaryota; Viridiplantae; Streptophyta; Magnoliopsida; Poales; Poaceae.
GGUAAGUUACUAGGACUUGGUUGAAUCCACAAAACAAAACAUGUGUGCACACCUUCUCUUGUGAGGGAUCAGGGUGAUUGCGUUAUUGCUCAUAGUGCAUAUCUCGAGCCAUGGAGUCAGACAAGGUUUUUGAAUCGAGUCGUUAUGGGGUUAGCGACCCUUGACGAUUCGUGCCGUGCCGAUCGACUAGUCUCGACUAGUCGAGGUGUUAGUCGAUCUCCAUUUACGACUCAUUGACUAGUCGCGGCUAGUCGUUCGACUCGAAAACAGGGGGAGUCACUGAGAUAGAUAGAUUGAUAAUACGAUUGUAUAGUGCAUAUUAAGUUCAACUGUCAGAUUAGAAAUUACUGCUGUUGUUUGAUGCCUAUUAAGUAGAAAUAUGUAUACUACCUCUGCUCUUCAAUCAAUAUCUAGCAUGGGGUUCAUUUCUGAAUUUUGACCCAGGACCUCCAGAACACAAGUAGGGACACUCUACCAUUGCGUCAGGCUUGCCUUUUACCAUUCAUAUAGACACAAGUAGUUAAAUUUGACAGAUGGAAAUGAUUGUAGAUUUGUGAGAAAUGAGAAAUUCCAAUCAUUUUUGAAAUAAAUUUUUUCCUGACACAUAAAUAGAGAGAUGUAAUGGUAGAAUUCUUGUGUUGGCGACCGUGUCAGGAGAUGGCACAAAUUUCCAUGAUAGGCUGUAAGAGCAUCUCCAACAGAUCCCCAAUAACAGUUUUUCAGAUCAUGGGGAUGCUUGCUUUUGCAGAUCCCCAAUAACCCCAUCCCUAUUCAAACUGUCAUAUGAGCCCCACUUUGUCAAUGAUCUCUCUCUCUCUCUCUCUCUCUCUCUCAGAAUGGUGGUGCGGUGGUCAGUGGAGGUGGUGUGGUGGUGGUGCAGUGGUCUAGUGUUUGGAGGCGGUGGCGGCGGGGCAGGUCCAGGCAGCGGCGGCGUCUGGUGGGAGGGCGGGUGGCUGAAAUAUGGGGGGAGAAGCAACUCCCCCUCUAUAUUGGGGAGUUGGGUUUAUUUAUUGGUGAUUCACCGAAAACUUCUUGGGGAAAGGGAAUCUGUUGGAGCUGAUUUUUUGGCCCAGCUCCCCUAAUACCGAUAUUAGAGUCUGUUGGAGAUGCUUUAACUGGAGUGAACGCCAAGAUGGAGGGAUCUAUACUUCUUCCCUCUCCGACUCCUGUUUUCUAUCUUACACCCAUUUUGUGUCCUGCAUGAGAUAAUUUCCUGGGAUUGGGAGCGAAGAAACAGUGUUUUUAUGUCUUUGCUCACGUCCCAAACAACUACAGCGGUGGCUAAUUCCAUGGCUAACCAAAGAACCAAAUAUAGUCCCAUGACAAGUUAUGUUUUGCUGGCCAACAAGUAUUGUAUGCAGAUAUCACUUGGUUAAAUAAACAAACAACAACAAAGCGUUUUGUCCCAAGCAAGUUGGGGUAGGCUAGAUAUGCCUUGUCACGUAUUCCCUCGUUCCUAAUUUAUCACUUGGUUAAACAAACAAACAACAACAAAGCCUUUUGUCCCAAGCAAGUUGGGGUACGCUAGAGAUGCCUUGUCACGUAUUCCCUUGUUCCUAAUUCGGUCCUUUAUUGUAUGUCCACAAUCCACCUUAGCAUGUGCAUUUCGGCGACACUCAUUUGUUCGAUGUGUUGUCUCUUAGUAGGCCAACACUCCGCUCCAUAUAGCAUCACAGGUCUGAUCGCCAUCCUGUAGAACUUACCUUUGAGCCACUUUGAUCCUGUGGCUAACAUCCUCAUCGAUACCACCGUUGCUUUGUAGCAUUGAACCCAAUUAUCGGGAAGUGUCCCUCUUAGGCACUAUAUGUCCUUCUAAGCUAACCUCUCCCUCCUCACCCCUAGCACCACUAAAGUCACACCUCAUAUACUCGGUCUUGGUCCUGCUAAAGACCCUUGGACUCUAAAGUCUGUCUCAAUUAUAAUUUCAUAUGGAUACCCAAUCUAGUCUCGUCAACUAGGACCACAUCAUCACCAAGGGAUAUCUCCUUGUAUAUCCUUUGUGACCCUGUUCCAUCACUAUGGCAAAAAUGUAUGGGCUAAAGGCUGAUCCUUGAUGUAGUCCUAUCGUAAUUAAUAAGGUAUUGGUCUCACUAUCACCUGCCCAAACACUUGGUUAAAUCAGUAAUUCUUGAAUUACUACAAGGUACUUGAUUUAGUAUCUCUGUUAUCUGUAGGGAAAGGCUGCGUACUAUAGACCCAAAGUGGUCGGACCCUUCCCCGACCCUGCGCAAGCGGGAGCUACAUGCACCGGGCUGCCCUUUUUUUUUACAUAAAUAAUAAAAUAUCUAGAUUAAUGCUGUUUCCAGGACAGCGUCCGCUAAUCAGUAUCUAGGGCAGAUCAUAGUUCAGUUUUCUUUGCAGGUUCGCAUCCAGUUUACAAGCUGGACCAUAUCAACCUUUGGAAAUAGUUCUGCUAAAAAUAUUCUAACGUAACUCUGUUUUGUCAGUUAGUAGUUGGAGACCUGGAGGGAACCUGGGUCUUUAGCAGUUAUCAGCAGUUAUCACUUCUUUAUACUGCAUGCGCCUUUUUUGUGUGUGACAUCAGACGUUUCAAAUAUUGAAACAGGUAAUGUUGGCCAAGUCAGACCAACCUCUUAGUUUUGCCUGUCCCAUUGGAACCAUGCCCUGUUAGGUUACUGUGCUAAUAUUAGUAGUAGACUUCUAUCUGUAACAGGCUGUCAGUUAGGUCUGCCAUAUGGUAUGAGGUAAUUUAGACAAAAGCAUACCACUUUUCUUUGGGGCUUUUGCUGUAGCUGUUAUUGUGAUGUUUUUAUUUUUUUCACUUGCACAUGCGUAUGUGCCCCACGAGUGUUUGCGCCAUGUGCAUUACAGUUUUUCCAGUCUAAACCAUUUUUUUGUCAGGUUGAAAUGGUUCAUGGCAAAAGAUUAAAUGCACAAAAGUUUUCAGUUGGAGGGACUCCAAGGAAAGUGCUAUACCACAGCGAUAGUAGAACACUGUUGGUUAUGAGAACUGGUUUAACUGGUGCAUCAUGUUCUUCAGAUAUUGUCCAAAUAGAUCCUAAUAAUGGGAUCUUGCUUUCCCGAUUCAAGUGUGAACUUGGUGAAACUGCAAAAUGCAUCCAGAUUGUGAAAAUAGGAAGUGAGCAAGUGUUAAUUGUUGGGACAAGUAAAUCUACUGACCGGCCGAUGAUGCCAAAUGGCGAAGCAGAAAGGUUAACAUCUCAUCUAUUCUUUCUAAUUAAGUGCUGCUGUCCUGUCAGAUAUCUUUGAUCCAUUAGCAAUAUUUUUUUAUUCAACUUGCAAUUUCAGUGUUCCAGCUAUUAUUGAUCUGUUUACCUCAGGCCUGUCUGUUUGCUCAUUGGCAGUCCUUCUCAUAUUUUUUCUUCUCUUCUGGCAUGUGUAUGAAUUAGUAAAGCUCACGCCAUUUUGUAAAAAAACUUAACUUUAUUGUUGUUCACUAACUUUGCACCAUACUCUUUUAAGUCAAUUUUUUUGUGAUUCUUAUUUAGUCCUGAAUGUUGAAGGGGAGCCUUGGUGCAGUGGUAAAGCUGCUGCCUUGUGACCAUGAGGUCACGGGUUCAAGUCCUGGAAACAGCCUCUUGCAGAAAUGUAGGGAAAGGCUGCGUACAAUAGACCCAAAGUGGUCAGACCCUUCCCCGGACCCUGCGCAAGCGGGAGCUACAUGCACCGGGCUGCCUUUUUUUUUUAUUUAGUCCUGAAUGUUCAUGCUGUUGUAGACAGAUUGCAUCUUUCCUUUUUUCCUACUUGUAAAGGUUGGAGUUGGUGCGGAGUUCACAUGUGGGACCACCAACCUUCACCAAUAAACAAAUGCACCCCUACCCACAUGUGUGACUCGCAACCAUCCAAAAGAUAAAUAAAUGUACUUCCACUCACAUGUAGCACCUAACACAAAUAAAACAAGUACACUACUGCUUUUGUGUGAGAUCAACAACAACAACAACAAUAACAAAGCCUUUAGUCCCAAACAAGUUGGGGUAGGCUAGAGGUGAAACCCAUAAGAUCUCAUGACCAACUCAUGUGUUACAACAAAUAACAAAUGCAGAAAUAUGACUCCAACUCAAAAUAAUGCUCUUAUUUUCAGUUUCUUCCCAACCAAUUUCUUCCAGUCACAGAAAUAAGAGUGAACAAAUUAUAAUUCCAAAGCGGCGAUAGACAUUUGUCCUCCUGCCGUGCAGUCAACUUACUAAUGCCUACACAUAUGUUUCGACAUUUGAAAUGUUGUGUCUUGCAAUGAUCGCUUACAGUUCUCCAAUGCCUGCUGCAUGAUUUUUCAUUGUAUUUCUGUUCUUUUUAAUCGUGAACCGCGCGCAAAGGCUGCAGGAUACAAUAUUUUGAUGAUUUCCUAAGCCAGUGACUAAACUCCUCGUAUUUUAUAGUUUCGUAACAACGCAUUUGCAUUGUCUAGUAUUUCCUAGUGUGAAUAAGAAAGUGGAUGUAAAAAGAAGAGCGGGAUAAAAGUAAAGUAGGGAUGAAUUCGUCUCUUGCCUCACCGAUCUGACACGGAGUUUUGGAAGCUACGGCCGAAGAAAUGCAGUAAAGCAAGUCGUCUUCGGAUUGGAGCUAAAUUCCCAAUAAUUUUGCACAUUCAAACAAUGAAAAACCUUACAUUUGCAAUGAUCUUAUAAUGAUUUGUUUGCAUACCAUGUUUAAGCACUUAACCUCAUUCUUAGUUUCUUAUGUUGUACUAUAAGAACAUAAAGAGGAAUCAUCGUGAAGCAGCACAAAGGUUGUGGAGGAGCAACUCCACCUUGCUGCUACAAUGUGUACAACACAAGUGUUGAAGGAACAGCUUCAACGUGCUGUGCUAGAUAUCGCUCUAGAGGCGAAUUUAGGCCGAUAGGGCAGCAAGAGUUCAAUCCAGAACUCCUAGGGCACAAGAUCUACUCCAAGAUCUUAGAUAAGAACAACAAGUUCUAUUAUAGGUAGUGGGUACAUA